AGAGUUUGAUCCUGGCUCAGGACGAACGCUGGCGGCGUGCCUAAUGCAUGCAAGUCGAGCGACGCGCACUACGGUGCGACGGAGCGGCGAACGGGUGAGUAACACGUGAGCAACCUGCCCUGAAGACCGGAAUAGCCCGGGGAAACCCGGUGUAAUGCCGGAUACACUCCCGAUACCGCAUGGUAUGGGAGAAAACGCCUUUGUGCUUCAGGAUGGGCUCACGGCCUAUCAGCUAGUUGGUGAGGUAACGGCUCACCAAGGCGACGACGGGUAGCUGGUCUGAGAGGACGAUCAGCCACACUGGGACUGAGACACGGCCCAGACUCCUACGGGAGGCAGCAGCAGGGAAUAUUGCGCAAUGGGCGAAAGCCUGACGCAGCGACGCCGCGUGGGGGAUGAAUGCCUUCGGGUUGUAAACCCCUUUCAGGAGGGAAGAAAUUGACGGUACCUCCAAAAGAAGCCCCGGCCAACUACGUGCCAGCAGCCGCGGUAAGACGUAGGGGGCAAGCGUUGUCCGGAAUCAUUGGGCGUAAAGGGCUCGUAGGCGGCUCGGUAAGUUGAUCGUGAAAUCCCGGAGCUCAACUCCGGAACUGCGGUCGAUACUGCCGUGGCUAGAGUCAGGUAGAGGAGAGUAGAAUUCCCGGUGUAGCGGUGGAAUGCGCAGAUAUCGGGAGGAAUACC
RNAcentral lists this ribosomal RNA (681 nucleotides) under uncultured Actinomycetes bacterium. Its description in RNAcentral is "bacterial SSU rRNA". It matches the Rfam family "Bacterial small subunit ribosomal RNA", at positions 8 to 710 of the family's 1533-position model. The record is from RNAcentral. Lineage: Bacteria; Bacillati; Actinomycetota; Actinomycetes.